UAAGGAAUAUUGGUCAAUGGACGCAAGUCUGAACCAGCCAUGCCGCGUGAAGGAUUAAGGUCCUCUGGAUUGUAAACUUCUUUUAUAUGGGACGAAAAAAGGUCUUUCUAGACCACUUGACGGUACCAUAUGAAUAAGCACCGGCUAACUCCGCGCCAGCAGCCGCGGUAAUACGGAGGGUGCAAGCGUUAUCCGGAUUCACUGGGUUUAAAGGGUGCGUAGGCGGGUAGGGAAGUCAGUGGUGGAAUC
RNAcentral lists this ribosomal RNA (249 nucleotides) under uncultured bacterium. Its description in RNAcentral is "partial 16S ribosomal RNA". It matches the Rfam family "Bacterial small subunit ribosomal RNA", at positions 355 to 601 of the family's 1533-position model. The record is from RNAcentral.